Molecule: non-coding RNA, 519 nt
Organism: Microcebus murinus (gray mouse lemur)
Lineage: Eukaryota; Metazoa; Chordata; Mammalia; Primates; Cheirogaleidae
Source: RefSeq, a predicted model, not a curated record
UUAAUCAUCGCUGCAGUGCCAGACACAGUAUUUUUAUUAGAGCAGAUUAAUACGCCUUCACGUGCAUGGUCUGUGUUACCUGCUGUAGCAUCAUCCAAAAGGAUCUGAACCACCUGGGCAUCCCAAUACCACACUACCGCACUGAUGACCUCAUGCUGAUGGGACAGGAUGCACAAGAGUGACUCUGUUGCAGGCUUUGUCACAGUUUCCAAGAACCUAUUGAUGACGUUAAGUGGAAACGUGCUGUGCUUGAAGACAGUGCCAGUCUGAAGCUUACACUCUGUUCCUUCAAGCUCUUCCUCCUGCCAUCAAGUGUCUUACCUUCCUGUUUGCUCCAGUUGCCAGUGUCCUCUGGAAACACAGCACCCGUGAGGAAGUCCUUGUACUCCUGGCACAGACUGACAGAUCCCUGACCAAGGCACUGUUUGUAAGAAAAGGGAGCAAGAUAAAGAGACCAACAUGCACCCGGAGAGGAAAGGACAGCCACACACAUGUCACUUAGCCUGAAAACAAACAGCC